GUAAUUCAUUUAAUAAAAAACCUGGGUUUAAAAAAUCUCCUCGUUCUCGUUUUAAUAACAAGGGUAGACCGAGAUCUGGCAAUAAUGAUGAUCCAUCAACAAAUGGCUUCUAUUAAACACCUUCUUUGAAGUAGCACCAUAUAAAAGCCUCUUACCGCAACGUAAGAGGCUUUUAUACUUUUCUGAUUUGAGAAAACCGAGGCGAGAAAACCUUUUUAAGAAAGCCUUUAGCUGUGGCCGCAGUA
Molecule: non-coding RNA, 245 nt
Organism: Cinara cedri
Lineage: Eukaryota; Metazoa; Arthropoda; Insecta; Hemiptera; Aphididae
Source: the annotation of a GenBank genome assembly